AUUUCUUCGACCUUUUGAUGCAUAAAAGUAGUUUGGACUUCACAGGCCUGUUGAGUCCACGUUGUUCCUAUUGCAGUUACUAAGGAUCUCUGCUGAGCAAGUUGAAAGUUACAGUUACAAAAAUUGGGACAACUUCCAGAGUGACACCCAAAGCAGUAAGUUUGGUGUAAAAGGAGACUGUGUGCUGCGUGAAGCAUUGAAACAUUUCCACCCUGUCACCGGAUUUGCUCCAGACAUCCUUCAUGACCUCUUGGAAGAUUUUGGAUCUGAAUGACACGAUCACACUUGCUGCGUACUUCAUUGAUGGUCGGUUAAUGCUGUCUCCCAGGAGAU
This is a long non-coding RNA of Labeo rohita (rohu), 333 nucleotides long. RefSeq lists it as uncharacterized. NCBI's taxonomy places the organism in Eukaryota, Metazoa, Chordata, Actinopteri, Cypriniformes, Cyprinidae. The record is from RefSeq and is a predicted model, not a curated record. The transcript is spliced from 4 exons.